GGCCCUCCAAAAGCCUUCCGCAAUGCUGAGAUAAGGCAAGGCUCAAAGCAAAGCUAUCCUGUAGGGACCAGGUUGACUUACACUUGCAUCUCAGGUUAUGAACCAACUUCUCCAACGCCACCAGUUACUGAAUGCCUUGGAACUUCACAAUGGUCGGAGGUUUCUGUGUCCUGUCGAGGAAGACGAUGUCCUUAUCCCAAUAUAGAGAAUGGUGGAAUAGCAGAAGACAGUGAACUUCGGCUUGGUGAUCAAAUAACCUUUGUCUGCAAUGACGGAUACAGACCAGUAGGGCGAAAUGGAGCUCGGUGUAUCGUGCAAAAUAACAAAGUGGUUUGGGAUAAUGCACCUCCACAUUGCG
Gekko japonicus is the source of this 358-nucleotide long non-coding RNA. RefSeq lists it as uncharacterized. The transcript has 3 exons. The record is from RefSeq and is a predicted model, not a curated record. NCBI's taxonomy places the organism in Eukaryota, Metazoa, Chordata, Lepidosauria, Squamata, Gekkonidae.